RNAcentral lists this transfer RNA (63 nucleotides) under Ornithodoros furcosus. RNAcentral describes it as "tRNA-Ile". The record is from RNAcentral. Lineage: Eukaryota; Metazoa; Arthropoda; Arachnida; Ixodida; Argasidae.
AAUAAAAUGCCUGAAAAAGGCCUAUCUUGAUAGGAUAAAAUAUGUAUGUUUAUACUUUUAUUA